RNAcentral lists this long non-coding RNA (934 nucleotides) under Mus spicilegus (steppe mouse). Its description in RNAcentral is "lncRNA (ENSMSIG00000011511.1)". The record is from RNAcentral. Lineage: Eukaryota; Metazoa; Chordata; Mammalia; Rodentia; Muridae.
GUUGAGCCAGAAUCGGUUGGGUUCUUCCCAGGUAAGAUAGGGAUGCGACAAAGCUGAACCAGCAAGGGGAAUGAACGGAAAACCUUCCUAGUAACUGGUGAGCUUCCAGCCCUCUUCUCUUAUUUGCUCUCAGCAGCUGGAGGAUUCUUCACUCAUAAAACUUGCCAGAGGAUAAUGACCUCGGAGGUCCCUGAAUCACAAUAGCAGGCUUCUGUUCAGUGAAGCCCAAUCUUCAGAAUGCUCCAAAGCUUCAGGAUUCAGGACAAGUCUUUCCACACAGAGAGAGGAAUUCACAAAACCUAAACUGGAAAAUCAGUCUCAUUACAAGAGAAACCAGGAAGAACGAUGGGAAAGAAGAGGCCUUCUCCUUCCCAGGCCUGGAGAAAAUCCUGCCUUGACACCCCACGAUCUUUUUUUGCGGCAACUGCCUCCUUCUCUGUCCUGCCGAAGGCCACAGCAGCACGUUUGCAGCGGAAAUAAACUUGCGCACCUCAUAAAAAGAACCAGUAAUGAUGCUCCCAUUUCAUGGGAUAUUACACCAUAAUGAUGAUAAUCCGCCCAUUUACAUCUGAUCUUCCAUAGACUUAGUGAAAUUAGCUUCCGUGCCACCUAGCAGGGGUAAUUUAUGAGAUAAAAAGGAACCAUUGAGAGAUAAUGUAAUGAGUAUUUACUGUAUCCUUGAUGGUGCUCUCAUCGCUGGGGAGACGGGAAGUUGGCUGGUGAGUUUAGCCUCCCACAUUUUCAGAGCCUCGUGCUAAAACCUCGGGUUAGCCGAUCCAGACCAAGACAUCACCCCAAACGCUCCUCCUCAGAAAAGCUAUGCAAACUCAUGCGGUGUUUGUGCUCGGGGGCUGUGAAUUUCUUCUGCCAACCUGAGCUGAAAGGAGCUAGAAAACUCUGCGUAUUUUACUUUCAGAGUUAAUGGGAAUAAAAU